This 425-nucleotide ribosomal RNA is filed under the name Pristionchus pacificus. RNAcentral's name for it is "eukaryotic LSU rRNA". The record is from RNAcentral. Lineage: Eukaryota; Metazoa; Nematoda; Chromadorea; Rhabditida; Neodiplogasteridae.
UUGACGAAACUGGCAGUGUUCAGUGCUCGUGAUCGGGUUCGCUCGUGAUCGGGUGCGCAUUCAUUGUCGGUACGUGCUGGGACGUUCGGUGAGCCCUUCUGAAGGCUUCAGAGUCACCCAAGCUUGCUUGGUAGUGUUCUGUCGUCGGAAGUUGAUGUGCUCGCUGAUCGUAGCGGUGGCCGUGCCUCUGCGCGUUCGUUCGUUAGUUGGUGUGCUGCUUGGUAGUCGGACAUGUCUGGCUGCCUCGUACGUGUGCUGAUUAGCGGGCGCUCGCCUAUGGCCCACUCCCGGUAUGACAAAGUCGACCACCUAUCCGACCCGUCUUGAAACACGGACCAAGAAGUCUAGUAUGUACGCGAGUCAUUGGGUAUUAAACCUAUUGGCGCAAUAAAUGUGAAGGGCGGCUUGUUCGUCUGAUAUGUGAU